GUUUAAAUAGUUUAAAAAAAACAUAGCACUUUCAUUGUUAAAUCGGAAAAUAUCCUUUAAAUG
Molecule: transfer RNA, 63 nt
Filed under: Scolytinae sp. BMNH 1043104
Lineage: Eukaryota; Metazoa; Arthropoda; Insecta; Coleoptera; Curculionidae
Description: tRNA-Glu
Source: RNAcentral